CAACUGUGUGUCUGAUGUGGACUCGUAAGUCAUGGGAAUGACCAGGGCGAGGUGUCAGCUUACGAUUUCUGCAUGCUUCCCCUCACUCCUAAGCUCACUCUCCACAAGCAGGGAGAGGGGAGAUGGCGAUGGCAGAAAUCUUCUCACAGAUCACUCACCUGGGAGCAGCCAGCUUCUCUGUCACGAGGACACUCAAAAAACCCAAUGGAGGAGCUCACAUGGUAAAGAACUGAGGCUUUCUGCCAACAGCCAGUGAGGAACUGAGCCCUGCUGGCAGCUGCCAGAUAAGCAAGCCAUCUUGGAAGAAGACCCCCAGCCUGUCAAGCCUUCAGCAACUGCAGCCCCAGCUGAUGCAAGAAACCAGAGUCAGAAUUACUCAGCAAGGCAUUCCUAAAUUUCUGACCCAUAGAAAUUGUAAGAUAAUAAAUGUUUGGGGUUUUUCUUUAAUCCACUAAGUCUGUGGGUAAUGUAUAUGAGCAGUGGAUAGCUUAUACUGUAAGAAAAAUAGAGGCAUUGGAUAUAAACCACUGGUCCAAAAAUUUUAACAAACAGAAAGAAAGAGACAGCAAGUAGUAGAGUGGAGCUGGAGGGAGCAGAGGUUGAAAGAGAAUACUGUCAUGGCAAAGGGCAUGGGUUUUUAAGAUAAAUCAGACAUGAAUUUGAAACCAGCACUGACACCUGUUAACUAUGUGACCUUGGGCAAACACUUAGAGUCUGUAAGCAUCAGUGUCUUCUUUUGUCUGUGUUCUUAAAAUAAUAGUACCUACUUCACACAUUUAUUUUAGAUCAAAAGACAAAAUGCACAGGAAAUAUCUACUUGGCACAUAGCAGACAGUAGACAGGUAUAAGUUAUUAGUGAUCACUUCAUUGAAGGUAAACAUGACACUCUGCUAACCUACACUGCCUGACUUUGCAGGGAAUGGAGUACCAUUUCAAUGCUUAUUGUUUUUUUUUUUCUUUUUCUUUUCUUGUUUUUUUUUUUAAAUUCUGAGAUAUAUCAGAAACAUGAUUUACUUUAUUUAACUAGAUAAACUUAAGUUCUGUGUAUCCAAAAUAUUCCAAGGACAGCAGAAGCAGAUAAAUCUGGAAAAAAAGUAUUUGAAUAGAAAUAAAUGUUGUUUCAAAAAAGUUUCUCCUUUUCUUGCCUUUUAGAGCAAUGUAGGCACCAUGCUUAGUACAUACACAAAACCUCCAACAUCAUCUACUUACAGAUCGUUCAUGUCAGUUCCAUGUUUAUUACUUUGAAGAGGGCAAAUUUUUUCAACAAGAGCUACUAUGCACUUAAGGCAUAUUCUCAAAAUCUCCAAGACUUAGUGUUCAUAUCUAUAGUAGUAAUU
RNAcentral lists this long non-coding RNA (1337 nucleotides) under Callithrix jacchus (white-tufted-ear marmoset). RNAcentral's name for it is "lncRNA (ENSCJAG00000077004.1)". Lineage: Eukaryota; Metazoa; Chordata; Mammalia; Primates; Cebidae. The record is from RNAcentral.